This 2358-nucleotide long non-coding RNA is filed under the name Carica papaya (papaya). RNAcentral's name for it is "long non-coding RNA (CPAP_LNC013230)". The record is from RNAcentral. Lineage: Eukaryota; Viridiplantae; Streptophyta; Magnoliopsida; Brassicales; Caricaceae.
CUAUAUGAGGUUUCAAUGAGUUAUAGACAUGAUUAGGAAGGCGUCCAUAGAGAUCAAAGUGGCACAAAUCAUCAUAGGCCACAUGGAAGCUAAAAGAAACAUAAAAGCUAAUGACCACAUGAGGGAUCAUAGGUACACAAGUUUAAGAGUUCACGACCACAAAGGAAAUCAUGGCUAUGUGUGACAUCCUAAUGCCAAGUAGGGGUCUGAUAGAGUAGACAAAAUAUAAAUAUUUACAUUGCAGCAAAACUAUACAUUCCAUACAAAGUUUACAAAAGAUUAUAUACUGAGGCCCAAUAGGAUCUUUACAUUUCAAAAUAUAAAAUAAGAGAUAACUUAGUUACAAAAUACAGAGACUUCACCAAACUACACUUUCCGAAAGGAAUCUAAACAGGGUUCUCCAGUGUUUUCCUCCAAAUUUUCAUCUGAAGGGGGGAGUUGGAUUUGGAUGACUUCCAAUAGUUAAUAAGAUAGAUAGAAAUAAUACAAUAUAGAUACAUUUCAAAACCUUCAUUAAUGCGUACUUGAAAAACAAGAGUUCCCAAUUUAAUCAACAAAUCAAAUCAAAUGCCAUAGUCAAAUCCCAUAACUACUAUUCAUAUCCAACUCAAAUGUUCAUCUCAUACAAAUUAUUACAAGGACGCUUACUACCAUACUUGAUCAGUUUACACAACUCAUACACCCAGGACCAAACUCGUCUUUUGACACAGUUUUAAUUACCAGUUAUUAUCUUAAUUUAAAUUACAUAGAUUAUAAACCUAUACGCGUAACCGCUUACACUUAUUUCCAAAUAUGGCAAAUGGGAUAUCAACUAGUCAUUAAUGGGUGUGCAAAUGUUUACAAACAUACAAUCAUAGAUAACAAAUACAAAUGUAAUUCUUUCAAGUCUCUUCAAGUCACCAUUAUUCAUGCCUUUGGGCCCAAGAACAUGAAUAUCAAAUCACCUAGACUCCCUAAGGACAACUGAACUACAUGUCCCAUUAAGGAACCAAAACCAACACCCAUAACAUAAGGCUCUUGAACAAAUAAGCAAACCAAAUAUCCUUAGAAGGAAAUAGGCUGACUCAGAUUUAAACCAGACUUUUUGUAUAUUUAAAUUUUUUAUUUUUAUUUAAUUUAGUUAAAUUCUUAUACUUCAUUAUCUUUCCCUAAAUUCAUAAUUUUUAUUGUAAUUCUAGAAAAUUAAAAUCUUAAUUCUUCUCAAUAUUUCAGUUUGUUUUAUAACUUGUGAAUUUUCUUAUUUAUAUUUAAAUUCUAAUAUUACUAAGAGAAUUCAACUAUUUAUUAAGUGAUUUAGUUUUUAACUUUCUAUUUUAAUUUAAACCUUUCAUCCCUACUAAUUGACCCAUUUUUAUCUCAAAUAAUUCCCAUAAUCCCAAAUUUUACAAAACUUUUCUUUUAACUCAGGCCGUGUCCUAGGGGCAUUUCUGAAUUGUUCUGGGCGUCCAAAAACGUCCCACGCAUGCUCGCAAGCUGCAGGACAGCACAUGCUCAGUAGCAGCAGGACCUUGGUGCCAUAUGCUUGUGACAAAACCAUUCGGUUUGAUUCCUUGAAAAUGUUUUCUACUUUCUUUGUUUUCUAAACAUCAGCUUAACACAUGCAGCAUCACCAAAUUAAUUCAAGCAAUUUAAUCAUCAAAUGUAUCUAAAAAUCUCAAAUCAUACAUCAACAAGACUUCUACCCAUCUUACCCAUUAAACAGAUGAGACAAAAGCUAAAUCGCAUGAAGAAAAUGCUAAAAAUUCAAGAAUUCUUCUCUGCAACUCACAGUAGCUGUGCUUGCACAGUAGAGUGAUGAUUUUGAGUUAGAUUUUGAGAUUAAAAGUUGUUUUACUUUUGGAAAAUAAAAUCUUAACACUCUUAACACAUUAUCUUAGUGAUUGAUUACAAAUCUUUGAGAGGAAACACAAGAAUUGGAUGAAGAACAAAUGCUUACCUGAACAGAGGCAUCGUUGAGGUGCAGCAACAACGGUUUUGGAUUCUGGAGCUUGCUGCUAAAAUUUGAGAGCUCGAUUUUUGUGUAGAAGUGACCAUAAGACAUUAAAGAAACAAACAAAAUAAUUCAAAAGAAGAAGAAACAACUUACCUCCGUGAGAAGAACUUUCCCCACUCUGUUACGCACACAGGACGUAUACUCUGUUCUGGUGCGUCACUCUCUCUUUCUCUCUCUACUGUUUUUUGCUCUCAACCUCCCCUCUCACUCACUUAUUAAACUGGAAUUUUGGGUUUGGAGAAGAUGAAGAUGAAGAUGUGAAGAGAAGGAAGCUUUUAUUGACACUUGGUCGGUCCUGACAACAGCCCACCAUCUGGCUCAUUACGACCACAAUUAUGGUGUUAAUGGGUGUUUGGUUUAUAUUU